This 253-nucleotide ribosomal RNA is filed under the name uncultured bacterium. Its description in RNAcentral is "partial 16S ribosomal RNA". It matches the Rfam family "Bacterial small subunit ribosomal RNA", at positions 524 to 776 of the family's 1533-position model. The record is from RNAcentral.
GACAGAGGUCCCGAGCGUUAGGCGGAAUCACUGGGCUUAAAGCGUGUGUAGGCGGACUUCUAAGUGCCUUGUGAAAUCCCACGGCUUAACCGUGGAACUGCUUGGUAUACUGGUCGUCUUGGGCCAUCUAGGGGCUACUGGAACAAACGGUGGAGCGGUGAAAUGCGUAGAUAUCGUUUGGAACGCCAAUGGUGAAAACAAGUAGCUGGGGAUGUGCCGACGCUGAGACACGAAAGCCAGGGGAGCGAACGGG